This 347-nucleotide unclassified non-coding RNA is filed under the name soil metagenome. RNAcentral's name for it is "partial contains 5.8S ribosomal RNA, internal transcribed spacer 2, and large subunit ribosomal RNA". The stretch from base 1 to 119 matches the Rfam family "5.8S ribosomal RNA", at positions 35 to 154 of the family's 154-position model. The record is from RNAcentral.
GAUGAAGAACGCAGCGAAAUGCGAUAAGUAAUGCGAAUUGCAGAAUCCGUGAGUCAUCGAAUCUUUGAACGCACAUUGCGCCCUUUGGUAUUCCGAAGGGCAUGCCUGUUCGAGCGUCAUUAUCACCCCUCAAGCCCCGGCUUGGUGUUGGGCUCUCGGUGGUCGUCUCCGACCACCCGUCUCAAAGAUAGUGACGGCGUCCCAGAGGGAACCGGUACGAGGAGCUUUCACGAGCAUGUACGCGGGACGACUCUGCGGGCGACGGUCUUAUUUACUUUAUAUACAAGUGUUGACCUCGGAUCAGGUAGGAAUACCCGCUGAACUUAAGCAUAUCAAUAAGCGGAGGA